AGCGGAGGAAAAGAAACCAACAGGGAUUGCCUCAGUAGCGGCGAGUGAAGCGGCAAAAGCUCCACUUUGAAAGCGUUUCGGCGCGUUGUAGUGUGGUUCAGUCUUUGAAUUUGGGGAAACUAAGUCCUUUGGAACAAGGCGCCAUAGAGGGUGAGAGCCCCGUGAGUUUUCCUUUACUAUUCUCCAAGUCUGUACCGAAGAGUCGAGUUGUUUGGGAAUGCAGCUCUAAGUGGGUGGUAAAUUCCAUCUAAGGCUAAAUAUUGGCGAGAGACCGAUAGCGAACAAGUACAGUGAUGGAAAGAUGAAAAGCACUUUGAAAAGAGAGUGAAACAGUACGUGAAAUUGUUGAAAGGGAAGGGUAUUUGGCUCGACAUGGGUCCUGUGCACCGUUGCCUCUUGUGGGCGGCGCUCUGCUGGGGCCUGGGCCAGCAUCAGUUUUCUGGCGGGGAUAAGGCCUUGUGAACUACAUUGUAGGGAUCGGGGCGAUGCCCGCACGGGGGACUGAGGACUGCCGUUUUUGUAGGAUGCUGGCAUAACGGCCAAAUACCGCCCGUCUUGA
Molecule: ribosomal RNA, 559 nt
Filed under: Saturnispora quitensis
Lineage: Eukaryota; Fungi; Ascomycota; Pichiomycetes; Pichiales; Pichiaceae
Description: eukaryotic LSU rRNA
Rfam family: Eukaryotic large subunit ribosomal RNA
Source: RNAcentral